Fundulus heteroclitus (mummichog) is the source of this 421-nucleotide long non-coding RNA. RefSeq lists it as uncharacterized. The transcript is spliced from 2 exons. The record is from RefSeq and is a predicted model, not a curated record. NCBI's taxonomy places the organism in Eukaryota, Metazoa, Chordata, Actinopteri, Cyprinodontiformes, Fundulidae.
GUCCAAACACUAAGUCAGCAGGACUAAAACCUGGGAACUCUUUAGUUGCUUCACUGGGAAACGAGGACACCAGCAGAGAAUCAGUGAGAUGUCUGCAUGUUUUGGUGACUGGGACCGAGUAACCACACAGGCUGGCCAGCAGAACAAGCUGUGCAGCGUUCCAGUCCUCGGGUCAGAACCAGCCUCUCCAUGGGUUGGUGGUGAUAAAGCACAGCGCUGCAGCAGGAGGCGACGGACGAUGAGAGCGGCUCUGAGCUGCAGCUCCUUGAGUCAUGUGACGUUCUGUUUGUGUUGCUGCAGCUUUCUGAAUGUACCGUGUUUGUUCUGCUUCUUCUUCUUCAUGUGUAUUUAUGGAGCCACGCCUCAGUGAGAUAUAUUUAUGAACACUGGAGAAAAAUCUAAUAAAAUAAUGGAAAACUAA